Molecule: ribosomal RNA, 253 nt
Filed under: uncultured bacterium
Lineage: Bacteria
Description: partial 16S ribosomal RNA
Rfam family: Bacterial small subunit ribosomal RNA
Source: RNAcentral
UACGUAGGGUGCGAGCGUUGUCCGGAAUUAUUGGGCGUAAAGAGCGUGUAGGCGGCCAUACAGGUCAGCUGUGAAAACUCGAGGCUCAACCUCGAGACGUCGGUUGAAACCGUAUGGCUAGAGUCCGGAAGAGGAGAGUGGAAUUCCCGGUGUAGCGGUGAAAUGCGCAGAUAUCGGGAAGAACACCCGUGGCGAAGGCGGCUCUCUGGGACGGUACUGACGCUGAGACGCGAAAGCGUGGGGAGCGAACAGG